Non-coding RNA from Schistosoma mattheei, 45 nucleotides. Lineage: Eukaryota; Metazoa; Platyhelminthes; Trematoda; Strigeidida; Schistosomatidae. The record is from Rfam.
AUCCAACUGACGAGUCUUGAAUAAGACGAAAAGCGCGUCCUUGAU